Molecule: ribosomal RNA, 484 nt
Filed under: uncultured bacterium
Lineage: Bacteria
Description: bacterial SSU rRNA
Rfam family: Bacterial small subunit ribosomal RNA
Source: RNAcentral
GAUGAACGCUGGCGGCGUGCCUAACACAUGCAAGUCGAACGAGAAGCUAACUUCUGAUUCCUUCGGGGAGAUGAAGUUGGUAGAAAGUGGCGAACGGGUGAGUAACGCGUGGGUAAUCUACCCUGUUAGUGGGGGAUAACCCUCCGAAAGGAGGGCUAAUACCGCAUAAGGUCUUCACUUCUUAAGAAGUAAAGAUUAAAAAUGGCCUCUAUACUAUGCUAUCGCUUCAGGAUGAGCCCGCGUCCUAUUAGUUAGUUGGUGGGGUAAUGGCCUACCAAGACCACAAUGGGUAGCCGGUCUGAGAGGAUGUACGGCCACACUGGGACUGAGAUACGGCCCAGACUCCUACGGGAGGCAGCAGUGGGGAAUAUUGCGCAAUGGGGGAAACCCUGACGCAGCGACGCCGCGUGGAUGAUGAAGGCCUUUGGGUUGUAAAAUCCUGUUUUGGGGGAAGAAACCUUAAGGGUCCAAUAAACCCUUAAGC